GGGGUUGUACUGGUUUCGACAGGAAUUUUGAAGUCGGAGAAGCAGGUCGCAGGCAUGCGUUAAUUCCAACAUUAAAUACAAACGCUGAAGAUAAUUUAGCAAUCGCUGCCUAAUGGCAGCUGUCCGCCUUAGUGCACCUACGCAUUAAGAUACGGGCAUCGAUCUCGUAGGAAACGACACGGGCUAAGCUUUGCACCCGCGGGCGUAUCAUGAAGCUACCAAGUUCAGUAUCCUGCUAACCGGAGGCUGAAGGAGGGAAUGUCAAAAGAUUAGAUAAACCUGUAGAAGUACGAUGGAUGGGUUUUUGGACAGGGGUUCGAUUCCCCUCAGCUCCACUA
Molecule: transfer-messenger RNA, 338 nt
Filed under: Lachnospiraceae bacterium
Lineage: Bacteria; Bacillati; Bacillota; Clostridia; Lachnospirales; Lachnospiraceae
Rfam family: transfer-messenger RNA
About the family: Bacterial tmRNA, also known as 10Sa RNA or SsrA, is named for its dual tRNA and mRNA-like properties. Its role is to liberate the mRNA from a stalled ribosome.
Source: RNAcentral